Molecule: ribosomal RNA, 500 nt
Filed under: uncultured bacterium
Lineage: Bacteria
Description: partial 16S ribosomal RNA
Rfam family: Bacterial small subunit ribosomal RNA
Source: RNAcentral
AUUGAACGCUAGCGGCAUGCCUUACACAUGCAAGUCGAACGGCAGCACGGGAGCAAUCCUGGUGGCGAGUGGCGAACGGGUGAGUCAAGUAUCGGAACGUGCCCAGUCGUGGGGGAUAACGUAGCGAAAGUUACGCUAAUACCGCCUACGAUCUAUGGAUGAACGCGGGGGAUCGCAAGAACUCGCGCGAUUGGAGCGGCCGAUAUCAGAUUAGGUAGUUGGUGGGGUAACGGCUCACCAAGCUGACGAUCUGUAGCUGGUCCGAGAGGACGACCAGCCACACUGGGACUGAGACACGGCCCAGACUCCUACGGGAGGCAGCAGUGGGGAAUUUUGGACAAUGGGCGAAAGCCUGAUCCAGCCAUGCCGCGUGCAGGAUGAAGGCCUUCGGGUUGUAAACUGCUUUUGUACGGAACGAAAAGGUUUGGGCUAAUAAGCUGAGCUCAUGACGGUACCGUAAGAAUAAGCACCGGCUAACUACGUGCCAGCCGCCGCCGUAA